CUAUGCUAUUGAUUGGCUGGUUAAAUAGAGGCCUAUUAGAUUCAGACAGGCUAGAUUGAUUAUACAGCAGCAGAAGGAGCUCAGACUCACAGCUGAGAGAACGUCAGGGUGAGAGAGAGCACAAGCAAGGGAGACUGUACAUACUGUAGCAUCAGUAUGUGACUGCUGGUGUCUGACAACACCGGUAUCUUGCUCUUGAAGUGGACAACUUGCUGAGCUACCUUUUAGCAUUUGCAAGAGGAUACCAGCUCUUAACCAGUACAACUGAUAACAGACUGGACCUUGGAAUAGUUAAUUUUACUUAUAAUUGCAUCUCUUAUUGCUAUGCAUCUCUGAAGAAGCAGCUUAUUACAGAAGACAAUUCAUCCUGUCCCUGUAGUUCACAUAGCACUGAUAAGACGGAGUUUCAUCUUCCAGACUCUUCACUUGGGAUCUGAUUGCACUGGGAAUUUAUCCUGGGAAGUUGAAGCCAGCAUCUUCAACAGAUUGAUCCCACCACUCUCCCCUCCAAUGAAGUGUCCAAAGAACCACAUAGAUCUUGAGAGUGUUUGUACAAAGCACAGUGAAGUUGAACUUGAACUCUCAUGUCCAUUUUCUCCCUUCUACUUCUGUUUCUGGUAAGUUGCACAAAAUUUGUAUUUAGCUGAGUCAAUUUUAUUUCACUCUGGAAGAAAUGUUUACAGUGACCAUAUUGGCUUUAUUAGCAUUGUCUGUAAGGUGAUAUUAAAAAUCUGCAAUGUGUGGAAGUAGUAAAUGAGGAGUUGUCAAGUUUGACAUUUUUUAUUUCCCUAAAGCUAUUCAAUAUCAUAAAAAAAUGUUUAGAUUCUAGAUAGAUGUUCUUAAACUAUUAAUGUGCAUUUUCAAAGAUAUUCUAAGAGACCAUUUAAUCUUGUAAAAAUUUGCAUGAAGAUGUUUAAGUGCACAUUUGCACAAGGUUACCAGUAGCUUACAAUAUAUUUUAG
This is a long non-coding RNA of Gallus gallus (chicken), 962 nucleotides long. The record is from Ensembl. NCBI's taxonomy places the organism in Eukaryota, Metazoa, Chordata, Aves, Galliformes, Phasianidae.